UACGUAGGGGGCAAGCGUUCUCCGGAUUUACUGGGUGUAAAGGGAGCGCAGGCGGCAGGAUGAGUCUGAUGUGAAAACCCGCGGCUCAACCACGGGAUUGCAUUGGAAACUGUCCAGCUAGAGUGUCGGAGAGGUAAGCGGAAUUCCUAGUGUAGCGGUGAAAUGCGUAGAUAUUAGGAGGAACACCAGUGGCGAAGGCGGCUUACUGGACGAUGACUGACGCUGAGGCUCGAAAGCGUGGGGAGCAAACAGG
RNAcentral lists this ribosomal RNA (253 nucleotides) under uncultured bacterium. RNAcentral describes it as "partial 16S ribosomal RNA". It matches the Rfam family "Bacterial small subunit ribosomal RNA", at positions 524 to 776 of the family's 1533-position model. The record is from RNAcentral.